RNAcentral lists this ribosomal RNA (480 nucleotides) under uncultured bacterium. RNAcentral describes it as "partial 16S ribosomal RNA". It matches the Rfam family "Bacterial small subunit ribosomal RNA", at positions 28 to 507 of the family's 1533-position model. The record is from RNAcentral.
GAUGAACGCUAGCGGCAUGCCUAACACAUGCAAGUCGAGGGGGAAGUUACUUUCGGGUGACUGAGACCGGCUUACGGGUGCGUAACGCGGAUACAAUCUGCCUUUCACUGGGGGAUAGCCCGAAGAAAUUUGGAUUAAUACCCCAUAGUCUAUAGGGACGUCAUCGUUUUUUUGUUAAAGCUUAGGUGGUGAAAGAUGAGUAUGCGUUCUAUUAGCGAGUUGGGGAGGUAACGGCUCCCCAAGGAGAUGAGAGAAAGGGGUUCUGAGAGGGAUGUCCCCCAGACUGGGACUGAGAUAAGGACCAGACUCCUAGGGGCGGCAGCAGAGAGGAAGAUUGGGCAAUGGUCGGAAGACUGAUCCAGCCAUGCCGCGUGCAGGAGGAUGGUGUUAUGGAUUGUAAUCUGCUUUUGCAAGAGAAGAAUAAGCGAUCCGCGUAGUUUGAUGACGGUACCUGACGAAUAAGCAUCGGCUAACUACGUG